This 604-nucleotide long non-coding RNA is filed under the name Oryctolagus cuniculus (rabbit). RNAcentral describes it as "lncRNA (ENSOCUG00000037828.1)". The record is from RNAcentral. Lineage: Eukaryota; Metazoa; Chordata; Mammalia; Lagomorpha; Leporidae.
UACUACCAAGCUAUUAAUCCACUGACUUCCAGCCUGCUAUAUGUGAUCCAGUGUGUGACUGUGUGGUGUGUGUACUUUCAGGGAGUAGGAGGUUGGCCCAGUUCCAAGAACUAGACAAAGUCCUCUUGCAAAGGAUCGAAAACAACUAUGUGAUCCUGGCUGGAAUGCUAGUCCAUGACCCAGAUGAUCCAUUUCUAGAAUGCACUCAGGACCAGGGAGAAGCAAAGAAAUAAGAGAAAGCCACAGAUGACAGAUUAAGAGGUCACCAACUGCCAAUUUCAUAAUGUGGAAUGAAACAGAAAGAUAGGAAAAGACAAGAUCAUGCAUUGGCUUGGAGACAAGUUUUCCAGAUGCAAGGCUCGCCCCUCAAACUUUGCGAUACCCUGGAACCUAAGAAUUUUGUGCGCUGAAGGGACUGAUUGUGAAUCAAAUUUUUCAUCAGGUUUGGAAGGAUUUAUUGAGGAAUCCUGAAGGAAAAAUCUCCUGUCACCAAAGUAAGAUUUAAACCUCUUAAGUGCACAUAAGUCAAGCAGAAAUUAUGGUAAUUGGACUUAAACCUGCUUCCCUCUCUGCAUACUGUAAAUAAAAGACGACAGUUUAAACA